GCAGCUUUAGCUCACUUGGGAGAGCGCCAGACUGAAGUUCCACUUCAGUUCUCCGAUGCGCGAGCAAUUCUUGCGCAUCAGCCACUUCUACUGUGCGGUAUCUGGAGGUACUGUGUUCGAUCCACAGAAGCUGCA
Non-coding RNA from Phyllosticta citriasiana, 135 nucleotides. The record is from the annotation of a GenBank genome assembly. Lineage: Eukaryota; Fungi; Ascomycota; Dothideomycetes; Botryosphaeriales; Phyllostictaceae.